GAUGAACGCUGGCGGCGUGCUUAACACAUGCAAGUCGAACGAGAGAAGAUUGGUGCUUGCACUGAUCCGAUCGAGUGGCGGACGGGUGAGUAACGCGUGGGUAACCUGCCUCAUACAGGGGAAUAACAGUUGGAAACGGCUGCUAAAACCGCAUAAGCGCACGGUAUCGCAUGAUACAGUGUGAAAAACUCCGGUGGUAUGAGAUGGACCCGCGUCUGAUUAGCUAGUUGGUGAGGUAACGGCCCACCAAGGCAACGAUCAGUAGCCGGCCUGAGAGGGUGAACGGCCACAUUGGGACUGAGACACGGCCCAAACUCCUACGGGAGGCAGCAGUGGGGAAUAUUGCACAAUGGGGGAAACCCUGAUGCAGCGACGCCGCGUGAGUGAUGAAGUAUUUCGGUAUGUAAAGCUCUAUCAGCAGGGAAGAUAAUGACGG
This 436-nucleotide ribosomal RNA is filed under the name uncultured bacterium. RNAcentral's name for it is "bacterial SSU rRNA". It matches the Rfam family "Bacterial small subunit ribosomal RNA", at positions 28 to 457 of the family's 1533-position model. The record is from RNAcentral.